This 253-nucleotide ribosomal RNA is filed under the name uncultured bacterium. Its description in RNAcentral is "partial 16S ribosomal RNA". It matches the Rfam family "Bacterial small subunit ribosomal RNA", at positions 524 to 776 of the family's 1533-position model. The record is from RNAcentral.
UACGUAGGGGGCUAGCGUUGUCCGGAAUCAUUGGGCGUAAAGAGCGUGUAGGCGGCCCGGUAAGUCCGCUGUAAAAGUCAAAGGCUCAACCUUUGAAUGUCAGUGGAUACUGCCGGGCUAGAGUCCGGAAGAGGCGAGUGGAACUCCUGGUGUAGCGGUGGAAUGCGCAGAUAUCUGGAGGAACACCGGUGGCGAAGGCGGCGUUCUGGACUGCAACUGACACUGAGGAACGAAAGCCAGGGGAGCAAACGGG